This 361-nucleotide long non-coding RNA is filed under the name Fukomys damarensis (Damara mole-rat). Its description in RNAcentral is "lncRNA (ENSFDAG00000028663.1)". The record is from RNAcentral. Lineage: Eukaryota; Metazoa; Chordata; Mammalia; Rodentia; Bathyergidae.
GGCGAGGAUGGAGACAAUGUGCUCCCUGCAGCAUGUCUUUCCAGAAACCCAAAGAGGGAGCAUUCUCUCAAAAUUCCCAAGACCCUGGAAAAUGCAGGUCCUCAGGAGGCAUGUGAAAUGAAAGAAAAAGUCCCAGCAAAGGACUAUGUGGAUUUAAGGAUGGUGAUAAUCAGAGCUCAGUAUGAGAAGAAGCACCACUUUCUUUUUUUUCGGUACCUUGGAUCGAACUCGGGUCCUUGCGAUGCAAGGCAGGCCACCGAACCGCUGAGCUAAAUCCCCGGCCCGCACCACUUUCUUGAUGAGUAUGAAUAACAGCAUCUGAAUACACUGGACAGACAAGCAGAGGAGAUUUUACACCAAC